This 1512-nucleotide ribosomal RNA is filed under the name Salmonella enterica subsp. enterica serovar Typhimurium. RNAcentral describes it as "partial 23S ribosomal RNA". It matches the Rfam family "Bacterial large subunit ribosomal RNA", at positions 1438 to 2925 of the family's 2925-position model. Lineage: Bacteria; Pseudomonadati; Pseudomonadota; Gammaproteobacteria; Enterobacterales; Enterobacteriaceae. The record is from RNAcentral.
CCCGUACUUGGUGUUACUGCGAAGGGGGGACGGAGAAGGCUAUGUUGGCCGGGCGACGGUUGUCCCGGUUUAAGCGUGUAGGUGUGUGUUCCAGGUAAAUCCGGUUCACUUUAACACUGAGGCGUGACGACGAGGCACUACGGUGCUGAAGCAACAAAUGCCCUGCUUCCAGGAAAAGCCUCUAAGCAUCAGGUAACACGAAAUCGUACCCCAAACCGACACAGGUGGUCAGGUAGAGAAUACCAAGGCGCUUGAGAGAACUCGGGUGAAGGAACUAGGCAAAAUGGUGCCGUAACUUCGGGAGAAGGCACGCUGACACGUAGGUGAAGUGAUUUACUCAUGGAGCUGAAGUCAGUCGAAGAUACCAGCUGGCUGCAACUGUUUAUUAAAAACACAGCACUGUGCAAACACGAAAGUGGACGUAUACGGUGUGACGCCUGCCCGGUGCCGGAAGGUUAAUUGAUGGGGUCAGCGCAAGCGAAGCUCCUGAUCGAAGCCCCGGUAAACGGCGGCCGUAACUAUAACGGUCCUAAGGUAGCGAAAUUCCUUGUCGGGUAAGUUCCGACCUGCACGAAUGGCGUAAUGAUGGCCAGGCUGUCUCCACCCGAGACUCAGUGAAAUUGAACUCGCUGUGAAGAUGCAGUGUACCCGCGGCAAGACGGAAAGACCCCGUGAACCUUUACUAUAGCUUGACACUGAACAUUGAGCCUUGAUGUGUAGGAUAGGUGGGAGGCUUUGAAGUGUGGACGCCAGUCUGCAUGGAGCCGACCUUGAAAUACCACCCUUUAAUGUUUGAUGUUCUAACGUGGACCCGUAAUCCGGGUUGCGGACAGUGUCUGGUGGGUAGUUUGACUGGGGCGGUCUCCUCCUAAAGAGUAACGGAGGAGCACGAAGGUUGGCUAAUCCUGGUCGGACAUCAGGAGGUUAGUGCAAUGGCAUAAGCCAGCUUGACUGCGAGCGUGACGGCGCGAGCAGGUGCGAAAGCAGGUCAUAGUGAUCCGGUGGUUCUGAAUGGAAGGGCCAUCGCUCAACGGAUAAAAGGUACUCCGGGGAUAACAGGCUGAUACCGCCCAAGAGUUCAUAUCGACGGCGGUGUUUGGCACCUCGAUGUCGGCUCAUCACAUCCUGGGGCUGAAGUAGGUCCCAAGGGUAUGGCUGUUCGCCAUUUAAAGUGGUACGCGAGCUGGGUUUAGAACGUCGUGAGACAGUUCGGUCCCUAUCUGCCGUGGGCGCUGGAGAACUGAGGGGGGCUGCUCCUAGUACGAGAGGACCGGAGUGGACGCAUCACUGGUGUUCGGGUUGUCAUGCCAAUGGCACUGCCCGGUAGCUAAAUGCGGAAGAGAUAAGUGCUGAAAGCAUCUAAGCACGAAACUUGCCCCGAGAUGAGUUCUCCCUGAGACUUAGAGUCUCCUGAAGGAACGUUGAAGACGACGACGUUGAUAGGCCGGGUGUGUAAGCGCAGCGAUGCGUUGAGCUAACCGGUACUAAUGAACCGUGAGGCUUAACCUUACA